UACAGAGGAGCCAAGCGUUGUCCGGAUUGACUGGGCGUAAAGCGCACGCAGGCGGAUGCGCGCGUGGGGUGUGAAAUCUGGCCGCUUAACGGCCAGGCGCCAUCCCAUACGGCGCGUCUGGAGUGAUGCAGAGGUCGGUGGAAUUGCCGGUGUAGUGGUGAAAUGCGUAGAGAUCGGCAGGAACACCCAGGGGGAAACCAGCCGACUGGGCAUCUACUGACGCCGAGGUGCGAGAGCGUGGGGAGCGAACCGG
This 253-nucleotide ribosomal RNA is filed under the name uncultured bacterium. RNAcentral describes it as "partial 16S ribosomal RNA". It matches the Rfam family "Bacterial small subunit ribosomal RNA", at positions 524 to 776 of the family's 1533-position model. The record is from RNAcentral.